AUUUUGUCUGCCGUUACAUUCUGAGUUCAAAUUCCACCAAGGUCAUCUUUGCUGUUCAUUCUCUCAGGGUUGAUAAAAUAAGU
Molecule: long non-coding RNA, 83 nt
Organism: Octopus sinensis (East Asian common octopus)
Lineage: Eukaryota; Metazoa; Mollusca; Cephalopoda; Octopoda; Octopodidae
Exons: 3
Source: RefSeq, a predicted model, not a curated record